This 181-nucleotide unclassified non-coding RNA is filed under the name Russulaceae sp. SB140. RNAcentral describes it as "sequence contains 18S rRNA gene, ITS1, 5.8S rRNA gene, ITS2 and 28S rRNA gene". Lineage: Eukaryota; Fungi; Basidiomycota; Agaricomycetes; Russulales; Russulaceae. The record is from RNAcentral.
UCAUUAUUGUAUAAUGGAGGUGCUGAGGUUGUCGCUGACUUUUGAAAGGGUCGUGCACGCCUCGGUACUCUCACAUAUAAUCCAUCUCACUGCUUUGUGCAUCACCGCGUGGGGACCCCUUUUGGCUAGUUCUGAGGGGGGUUUUCACGUUUUUACAUACACACAUCAUUUCUAUGCAUAA